Molecule: ribosomal RNA, 253 nt
Filed under: uncultured bacterium
Lineage: Bacteria
Description: partial 16S ribosomal RNA
Rfam family: Bacterial small subunit ribosomal RNA
Source: RNAcentral
UACGUAGGUGGCAAGCGUUGUCCGGAUUUACUGGGCGUAAAGAGCGCGCAGGCGGUCGUUCAAGUCGCGUGUGAAAGCCCCCGGCUCAACUGGGGAGGGUCACGCGAUACUGAUCGACUCGAAGGCAGGAGAGGGUAGUGGAAUUCCCGGUGUAGUGGUGAAAUGCGUAGAUAUCGGGAGGAACACCAGUGGCGAAGGCGACUACCCGGCCUGUUCUUGACGCUGAGGCGCGAAAGCUAGGGGAGCAAACGGG